GCAGGUGUCCGGUUGUCUUCAUUCUCCGCCAGCCUGGAUCCGCUCCAGGGCAACUGGAACGGGUGGGAGGACAUCGGCCGUGGUUUGAGUGAACGGAGUUUGGACAAAAGCUGUGUGCACACAAAAACAAGGUAAGCAGACCUUUUAUUUCUGCUAUAUUGAACAUUAUAAAAAUACUUAGUGUCCAAACUCCUAGUAAUUCAUAACCAAAAUUGUCUGGCUUACUUAAGGCUUGUUGAGAAUCAGACAAGUGAAUAAGAGAUAAGUGAAUAAGAAAUAAGUGAAUAAGUGAAUAAAGAUAAGAGUGAACUGAGGUCUGACCACGGUUGCAGCCGACGGGUUGCUCUCCGGUGUCGGAUACAUACCUCAGUGCAGGUCUGGGACCUUGAAAGGGUUUAUUAGUAACGCCUUUCUAAACAAAUUAAAAGGUUAAAGGCCUUGAGAAUAUUUUUUAGUAAUAUUCUCUAAACUACAGAAGGGUUAGGAAGGCCCAGAGGACUUUAUUAGAAAAGAUCCUCUAAAA
Long non-coding RNA from Maylandia zebra (zebra mbuna), 523 nucleotides. RefSeq lists it as uncharacterized. NCBI's taxonomy places the organism in Eukaryota, Metazoa, Chordata, Actinopteri, Cichliformes, Cichlidae. The record is from RefSeq and is a predicted model, not a curated record.